RNAcentral lists this long non-coding RNA (463 nucleotides) under Vigna radiata. RNAcentral's name for it is "long non-coding RNA (VRAD_LNC013086)". Lineage: Eukaryota; Viridiplantae; Streptophyta; Magnoliopsida; Fabales; Fabaceae. The record is from RNAcentral.
AGUUUAUAUUCAUUAUAGAUUAUAUUCAUAUAAGAACCUUAAAUAAUGUUAAUAUAUUGAAGUAAGUUAUUUAGUUUAAAUAAAAUUAGAUUAUUUAAUACAAACGCAAUAAAAUAAGUUGCAAGAUGGAAGUGAAAAAUUUAUGAAAUGAUAAAGCAUAAAGAAUGGAUUAAAGAAGACUAUAAAUAUGAAGUCCAUACUCUUAUGGUGCGGCAAAGUCCUCCAUCGCACAAACCUUCGUCUCUUCUCCAUCCCAGACCUCUUCUUUUCUUCCUCCUCUACCAUUUCUGCAUCUACCUCUGUACUCAAAGCAUCACAUUGCCCCUAACCUACUGUUCCUCUCUCUCCCUCCUCCUCCACCUCCCCCUCGAGUUCUUCAUCCUACUCGUUCACUUCAAAAUCGGAGUCUCCUGCAUCGCAAUAGCCAUGGUAUGGACCAACCUCAACCUAUUCCUCUUCCUCU